RNAcentral lists this ribosomal RNA (759 nucleotides) under uncultured Neisseriaceae bacterium. RNAcentral's name for it is "bacterial SSU rRNA". It matches the Rfam family "Bacterial small subunit ribosomal RNA", at positions 28 to 776 of the family's 1533-position model. The record is from RNAcentral. Lineage: Bacteria; Pseudomonadati; Pseudomonadota; Betaproteobacteria; Neisseriales; Neisseriaceae.
AUUGAACGCUGGCGGCAUGCUUUACACAUGCAAGUCGGACGGCAGCAUAGAAGAGCUUGCUCUUUUGAUGGCGAGUGGCGAACGGGUGAGUAAUGCAUCGGAACGUACCGAGUAGUGGGGGAUAACUGUCCGAAAGGAUGGCUAAUACCGCAUAUUCUCUGAGGAGGAAAGCAGGGGACCUUAGGGCCUUGCGCUAUUUGAGCGGCCGAUGUCUGAUUAGCUAGUUGGUGGGGGAAGAGCCCACCAAGGCGACGAUCAGUAGCGGGUCUGAGAGGAUGAUCCGCCACACUGGGACUGAGACACGGCCCAGACUCCUACGGGAGGCAGCAGUGGGGAAUUUUGGACAAUGGGCGCAAGCCUGAUCCAGCCAUGCCGCGUGUAUGAAGAAGGCCUUCGGGUUGUAAAGUACUUUUGUCAGGGAAGAAAAGCCUGGGGAUAACACCCUCAGGUCAUGACGGUACCUGAAGAAUAAGCACCGGCUAACUACGUGCCAGCAGCCGCGGUAAUACGUAGGGUGCGAGCGUUAAUCGGAAUUACUGGGCGUAAAGCGAGCGCAGACGGUUAUUUAAGCAAGAUGUGAAAGCCCCGGGCUCAACCUGGGAACUGCGUUUUGAACUGGGUAACUAGAGUGUGUCAGAGGGGGGUAGAAUUCCACGUGUAGCAGUGAAAUGCGUAGAGAUGUGGAGGAAUACCGAUGGCGAAGGCAGCCCCCUGGGAUAACACUGACGUUCAUGCUCGAAAGCGUGGGUAGCAAACAGG